UUUAAAGGGAAGAACCUUACCCAAGUUUGACAUCCCGGUGGACGAAGGAGAAAUGUCCUUUUCCUUUCGGGCCGGGAAGACCGGGGGGGCCAUGGUUGUCGUCAGCUGGGUUGGGGAGAUGUUGGUUAAAGUCCCCAAACGAGCGCACCCUUUUUCUUUAGUACCCAGCAGUAAGAUGGGCACUCUAGAGAGACUGCCGGGGAUAACCCGGAGGAAGGUGGGGAUGACGUCAAAUCAUCAUGCCCCUUAUGAUUUGGGCUACACACGUGCUACAAUGGCGUAAACAAAGGGAAGCGAACUUGUGAGGGCAAGCAAAUCUCAAAAAUAACGUCUCAGUUCGGAUUGUAGUCUGCAACUCGCCUACAUGAAGCUGGAAUCGCUAGUAAUCGCGGAUCAGAAUG
RNAcentral lists this ribosomal RNA (401 nucleotides) under uncultured bacterium. RNAcentral describes it as "bacterial SSU rRNA". It matches the Rfam family "Bacterial small subunit ribosomal RNA", at positions 955 to 1356 of the family's 1533-position model. The record is from RNAcentral.